RNAcentral lists this ribosomal RNA (616 nucleotides) under uncultured delta proteobacterium. RNAcentral describes it as "bacterial SSU rRNA". It matches the Rfam family "Bacterial small subunit ribosomal RNA", at positions 121 to 714 of the family's 1533-position model. The record is from RNAcentral. Lineage: Bacteria; Deltaproteobacteria.
GUAACCUACCCUGGGGAUCGGGAUAACCUGUCGAAAGACGGGCUAACACCGGAUAAGACCACGGGAGCCUCGGCUCCUGAGGUAAAAGAUGGCCUAUGCUUGCAAGCUAUUACCCCGGGAUGGGCCUGCGCACCGUUAGCUAGUUGGUGAGGUAACGGCUCACCAAGGCGAAGAUGGUUAGCUGGCCUGAGAGGAUGAUCAGCCACACUGGGACUGAGACACGGCCCAGACUCCUACGGGAGGCAGCAGUGGGGGAUAUUGCGCAAUGGGCGGAAGCCUGACGCAGCGACGCCGCGUGGGUGAUGAAGGCCUUCGGGUCGUAAAGCCCUGUCAGGAGGGACGAAACCUCGCCGACCUAAUAUGUCGGCGACCUGACGGUACCUCCAAAGGAAGCACCGGCUAACUCCGUGCCAGCAGCCGCGGUAAUACGGAGGGUGCGAGCGUUGUUCGGAAUCACUGGGCGUAAAGCGCGUGUAGGCGGCUUCUUAAGUCUGGUGUGAAAUCCCGGGGCUCACCCCCGGAAGUGCACUGGACACUGGGAAGCUUGAGUACCGGAGAGGAGGGUGGAAUUCCUGUGUAGCGGUGAAAUGCGUAGAUAUCAGGAGGAACACCUGUG